CUUUGGAAAUCCCCCAUGUAACCCGACAAUGAUGCAUUUUCUCUUCAAGAAUCCCUGAUCUAACCUGAAAAUCACGCAUUUUCACUUCAAAAAUACAUAAUUUAUCAAAAAUCACAAGUUUUCUCUUAAAAACAAACAAACAAACAAACAAACAAACACAUUUAACCCCAAAAUCAUGUAUUUUCUCAUCGAAAAUCCCUGCUUUAACCUGAACACCACGCAUUUUCACCACAAAAAUCC
RNAcentral lists this long non-coding RNA (240 nucleotides) under Gallus gallus (chicken). Lineage: Eukaryota; Metazoa; Chordata; Aves; Galliformes; Phasianidae. The record is from RNAcentral.